CUUCGAUUUCCUCCCGCAGGCCACACCCACGCGCCAGCUUUCCACACACUCCCUUCUCCCGCCUCUGUGCCACCAGCCGGGCUACUCCCAUCGCCCUUUCAGCCGUUCCCAACCCCCAAGCGAUCCACCACCAGGAUAUCCCCCCGCCAGCAGGUCCCCAGCCGGACUCCCUUCCAUCCACCCCUGCGACGCCCCCGUCCCAGCACCCCUGGCCCGGCCCUGCUAAACCCGGCUCCCCGCGCCGCAUCGGCCCGCCAGCAACAGCCCCCGCUGCCCCCUCGCCUCUGCCCGGGAGGAGGUCACUCCAGGCCAAGGCGCCCUGGCUGCGCUUUUCUGAGCAAAGGAAAUAGGAGUGAGACUCUUGAGAUCCUGAGACAAAAGCUACUUCUGGUUUUACACUGCUGACUUAUUGGAGCAAGCAGGCUGGUUCAAGGAAAAAAAAACAUUGGAGUUCCUGUUGUGGCCCAGUGGUAACAAACCUGACUAGUAUCAUGAGGACGUGGGUUCGAUCCCUGGCCUCACUCAUUGGGUUAAAGAUUCAGCGUUGCCCUGAACUGUGGUGUAGGUGGUAGUUCCCACACAUCUUGGGUGUGGCCCUAAGAAGACAAGAAAGAAAGAAAGAGAGAGAGAGAGAGAGGGAGGGAGGGAGGGAGAGAGAAAGAGAAGGAAAGAAAAGGAUAGAAAAGAAAAGAAAAGAACAUUGCCCUGACGUGGAGAGGCUGGGCCCUCACCCCCCAGCGCCAGCAUUGGACAUCCAGGGAACAAAUCCCCAAACUUCCCCGGGUCCCCUUCUCCAGUCUGUUAAGUGACUGAUGCGCAGAGCCAUCUCUAAGCUGCCUCCAGAUUCCGUCACUCCAUGGGCAAUGCCACUGUGGCUUCUGCAUAAAAAGCCCUAAAUCUCCUACACUGACGGCUCUCUGCCCGCAGGACCAGCCAUCACUCAGCCCCGCCAACAAAGCUGACAUCUGCGUUCUCCCCUCCCCACCAGUGGGACCCUCCAAAGGUUUCUUUGAACUUUCUCCCUCUGGAGUCAUCUGCUGGUACCC
This 1046-nucleotide long non-coding RNA is filed under the name Sus scrofa (pig). RNAcentral's name for it is "lncRNA (ENSSSCG00065063274.1)". Lineage: Eukaryota; Metazoa; Chordata; Mammalia; Artiodactyla; Suidae. The record is from RNAcentral.